GUGCCAGCAGCCGCGGUAAUACGAACCGUCCAAACGUUAUUCGGAUUUACUGGGCUUAAAGGGUAUGUAGGCGGCGCUUCAAGUCGGGUGUGAAAUCCCUCGGCUCAACCGAGGAACUGCGCCCGAUACUGGAGUGCUUGAGGGAGACAGAGGUAAGCGGAACUGAUGGUGGAGCGGUGAAAUGCGUUGAUAUCAUCAGGAACACCGGUGGCGAAAGCGGCUUACUGGGUCUCUUCUGACGCUGAGAUACGAAAGCUAGGGGAGCGAAGGGGAUUAGAAACCCCCGUAGUCC
This 292-nucleotide ribosomal RNA is filed under the name uncultured bacterium. RNAcentral's name for it is "partial 16S ribosomal RNA". It matches the Rfam family "Bacterial small subunit ribosomal RNA", at positions 505 to 796 of the family's 1533-position model. The record is from RNAcentral.